RNAcentral lists this ribosomal RNA (1009 nucleotides) under Kylindria peruamazonensis. Its description in RNAcentral is "SSU rRNA". It matches the Rfam family "Eukaryotic small subunit ribosomal RNA", at positions 82 to 1101 of the family's 1831-position model. Lineage: Eukaryota; Fungi; Ascomycota; Sordariomycetes; Glomerellales; Reticulascaceae. The record is from RNAcentral.
CGAAACUGCGAAUGGCUCAUUAUAUAAGUUAUCGUUUAUUUGAUAGUACAUUACUACUUGGAUAACCGUGGUAAUUCUAGAGCUAAUACAUGCUAAAAAUCCCGACUUCGGAAGGGAUGUAUUUAUUAGAUUAAAAACCAAUGCCCUUCGGGGCUCACUGGUGAUUCAUAAUAACUUCUCGAAUCGCAUGGCCUUGCGCUGGCGAUGGUUCAUUCAAAUUUCUUCCCUAUCAACUUUCGAUGCUAGAGUAUUGUUCUAGCAUGGUUACAACGGGUAACGGAGGGUUAGGGCUCGACCCCGGAGAAGGAGCCUGAGAGACGGCUACUACAUCCAAGGAAGGCAGCAGGCGCGCAAAUUACCCAAUCCCGACUCGGGGAGGUAGUGACGAUAAAUACUGAUACAGGGCUCUUUUGGGUCUUGUAAUUGGAAUGAGUACAAUUUAAAUCCCUUAACGAGGAACAAUUGGAGGGCAAGUCUGGUGCCAGCAGCCGCGGUAAUUCCAGCUCCAAUAGCGUAUAUUAAAGUUGUUGUGGUUAAAAAGCUCGUAGUAGAACCUUGGGCCUGGCUGGCCGGUCCGCCUCACCGCGUGUACUGGUCCGGCCGGGCCUUUCCCUCUGUGGAACCGCAUGUCCUUCACUGGGUGUGUCGGGGAAACAGGACUUUUACUUUGAAAAAAUUAGAGUGCUCCAGGCAGGCCUAUGCUCGAAUACAUUAGCAUGGAAUAAUGAAAUAGGACGUGUGGUUCUAUUUUGUUGGUUUCUAGGACCGCCGUAAUGAUUAAUAGGGACAGUCGGGGGCAUCAGUAUUCAAUUGUCAGAGGUGAAAUUCUUGGAUUUAUUGAAGACUAACUACUGCGAAAGCAUUUGCCAAGGAUGUUUUCAUUUAUCAGGAACGAAAGUUAGGGGAUCGAAGACGAUCAGAUACCGUCGUAGUCUUAACCAUAAACUAUGCCGACUAGGGAUCGGACGAUGUUAUUUUUUGACUCGUUCGGCACCUUACGAGAAAUCAA